Puntigrus tetrazona (Sumatra barb) is the source of this 636-nucleotide long non-coding RNA. RefSeq lists it as uncharacterized. The record is from RefSeq and is a predicted model, not a curated record. Lineage: Eukaryota; Metazoa; Chordata; Actinopteri; Cypriniformes; Cyprinidae. The transcript has 3 exons.
UAGUAUCAAGCAUUAAGUAUUUCAACGGUGAUAUUAGUUACACGGUUCUGCAACUACGUGACGAACAGCGGUAAGGACUUUUAUUUUGAAAAAAGUCGUAAACGCUGUCGUAAAUAAAGUGAUUUAAAGCGAUUUUAAACGCACACAGUCAACACGUGUCAUCAGUAAUCAUUUUUAACAGAUAGUAAGGGCAAAUAUACGGCUUAUGUUUUAUUGUGAAUAUGAGAUCGGGCCGAGCUAUAAAGACGCAGCUCUCUCACAAUACUCUAGAUGAUAUUAACGAGCUUUGAACGCAGUGAUGCUGUAAAACACACGUAAAAUCUCUCAUUCGGCUCCGCAACGCGACAAGUUUGAUUUCAGCGCCGCUCCUGACAGCCUGUCUAGGAUCCGACCGCUCUCAGGAGGAAAAUCUCCCCCCCGUGCAUCACCUUUAAUGAGGAUAAAAGGACUUCUGAGGGAGAUAAUGCCCUUAUUUUCCCGGCGUGAAGUCGCCCUGCACGCAUUUACUGACAACACUCAUUCAUCUUCUCGCAGGAAAAAACCCGGGAGCGUUUCUAAGCAGAUCCGGUGAUCUGAGAGAGUUUGUGUCCAUCAGGAGAAUCCAGGCGUGACCGCAGGAGAGGAGAAGGUCAGGCC